GGCUGACGAGGUCAUUCUAGUUAGCUCCGAUGAUGAGGCUGCUCCUAGGCCUGCUGUCAAGAUGACAACAUGAGGUCCCAAGAAAACUGGAAAUGUUACUUUUGAUAAACAUUGUGUGUAGGCAAACAAAGUUGCCUUGAAGCCCUCACAAGUUGAGAAAUUGAAGCGCCGAGUUCGUUAUCGAAAGCCAACCAUACGCUAUUAUGUAUGCACCAUUCAAGAAGCUCAUGUGAUACCUAAGAAGGAAAAAAUGGUAAAAAGCAUCAAGAAGUAUCUUUUUGAUAAGUUGUCUCGAAGUUUCCUUUCUUACAAGUUGCCCAUGUUUUUUUGUGUGUAGUACUUCAACAAGCCGUACACUACUCAACACAUCAAAAAGCGUCUUGCCUUGGAAGAAGAACAUUCCCUCGAGGUAUACUACAUGGCAAAGAACAUUGCUAAAGUUGGGAUGAUCUGCAGCAAGGCAAAGAACAAGGGUGCUAGCAUAACAACCAAUUGGAAGGAUAUCGUGGACAAGACCAAGAUGAGGAGGGGAGACAUCUUUGUGUUUUGGUUCCGCCGUGACUUUGGUGGACUCACUGAUACAUGCUCACAGUGAAAUACAUAGUUCAGGCAACUGAAAAAGAUACAUGCAAAAG
RNAcentral lists this long non-coding RNA (635 nucleotides) under Hordeum vulgare. Its description in RNAcentral is "long non-coding RNA (HVUL_LNC004349)". The record is from RNAcentral. Lineage: Eukaryota; Viridiplantae; Streptophyta; Magnoliopsida; Poales; Poaceae.